CUGGGCGACUUACCCUGUGACGUCAUCUACUCAUGUUUGUAGAUGUCCUCCUCCACCAUUAACAGACCUCAAAUUUUACAGCAGUCCAUUCUUCCCACCUGAGUGUUUUCCUUCUUUUGAAGAACGAGAUGAGUUGGAUGAGUUAUUGGCUAUCAUGCCACCAGAGGCCCUGGAACCCGUCCCAGUUCCAAAGAAAAGAAAACACGAGAAGGAUAAGGGGACGUAUGUAAAGAAACCUCCCAACGCAUUUAUGCUGUUCUUAAAAAGCGAGAGGAAGACAGUCCAGGAAGAGCUCGGCAUUAAGAACAGUGCCGCAGUCAAUCGAGUUCUUUCUGAACGCUGGAAGUCUUUGGCAGAAGACAAAAGGUAGAUCUUCCAAGCUGAAGCCCAAGUGGAAGCUCAUAUACACGCUCUCAAUAACCCAGGCUGGAGCAACAAAGUGAAUUACGUAAGUCUACUGCGCAGAAAUGUUUACCCAUCCACCUUAUAGGUGAUGACAUCAUGACUGUGGAAGUGUUUUAUCAGCUGACUAGAAUUGUCACGUGUCU
Molecule: long non-coding RNA, 548 nt
Filed under: Gouania willdenowi (blunt-snouted clingfish)
Lineage: Eukaryota; Metazoa; Chordata; Actinopteri; Blenniiformes; Gobiesocidae
Description: lncRNA (ENSGWIG00000004524.1)
Source: RNAcentral